UUCAACUUGUGUUCGACUUGAUAUUUGGCUCGCUCGAGCUCGACUUGAAAUUAAACGAGCCGAGCUUGAACAAAAAGAAAGACGAAAUUUAUUUCAAGCCGAGCUUGAGUAUUACUCGGCUCGUUCGAAUUAGGCUCGAAAAGCUCGAAUAUAUAUAUAUAUAGUAGUGCUACUAUGCUAUCGAAAAAAUAAGGGAUCCGGUGCUUUCGAUUGGACUAAUACUAUUAUUACCUUGUAGGGACCACUCAAUCCUAGGGGUAUUAUUUAAUCCUAAAGGGGACCGCAAUCAUCCCAACCAUACAAUUCUUAAUCAAAUGGUCAAAAAUUCGAAAACAUCAAAUCCUCUAUAUUUUUGAUAGUAUAGUAGUUCUAUAAUAUAUAUAUAUAUUAAAAAAAUAUAAAUAUAAUAUAUUUUAAUUAUAUAUAGGCCGAGUGAAUAGUCUGAGUUAGUUAAAAUUGGGCCAAUGUUGUUGACCUAUAAAAACAAACCCAAUAGACAAAUAAAAGAGCAAAAUUUCACUAAAUUUAUACAUUUUUUCUUUCUUUCUUUUUUUGAGAGAGCUCUAAAUUUUCAAUAUGUUUCUCUCUUUCUCUUUUUCUGUCUCUCACCCUAAGUGGCCAAGCCGGAAGCCCUCCAAGUUACCAAGUAACAGCAUAUGUCCGCCGUUGCCUACCUUGCUAUUAAUUGUAUGCUUGAAAAAAUAUAUAGAAUAUUUUUAAAAUAAAAAAUUAUUAUUUAUAUAAAAUUUUAAUUUUAGUUAUAUAUGAUUGGAUAGUUUAAUCCAAUAUUUAUCUGUAUAAUUUAUUUAUUUUUGACUGCAUAAAUAAAAAUGAAUAAUAUGGAGAUUGAAUGCGGAAGAAAAGAUAUGUGAGGCUGAAAAGAUUAGAUAUUCAACUCAUAAUUUUUUUUUUUUUUUCAUAUUAUAAUACUAUAUUUCAUAUAAUUAUUUUGUACUUUGAACUAUUAGACAUAUUUUUGUAUCAAAUUAUAGAUAAUAUUCUAUACAAAUUAAACUAUUGAUCGUAUAAUGUUGAGAAUUUCAAGCGGCUCGUUUAGGACUCGAGCUCGCUCGACUCGAAAUUAGGCUCACUCGAGCUCGGCUCGAAUUAAUUUCAAUCCAAGCUUGAGCUUAAAUUUAGGCUCGA
This 1146-nucleotide long non-coding RNA is filed under the name Ananas comosus (pineapple). RNAcentral describes it as "long non-coding RNA (ACOM_LNC014472)". The record is from RNAcentral. Lineage: Eukaryota; Viridiplantae; Streptophyta; Magnoliopsida; Poales; Bromeliaceae.